Molecule: transfer RNA, 76 nt
Filed under: Gammaproteobacteria bacterium
Lineage: Bacteria; Pseudomonadati; Pseudomonadota; Gammaproteobacteria
Also listed under: 1 other name
Description: tRNA-Phe
Rfam family: tRNA
About the family: Transfer RNA (tRNA) molecules are approximately 80 nucleotides in length. Their secondary structure includes four short double-helical elements and three loops (D, anti-codon, and T loops).
Source: RNAcentral
GGCCAGGUAGCUCAGUCGGUAGAGCAGGGGACUGAAAAUCCCCGUGUCGGUAGUUCGAUUCUACUCCUGGCCACCA